Molecule: ribosomal RNA, 438 nt
Filed under: uncultured bacterium
Lineage: Bacteria
Description: bacterial SSU rRNA
Rfam family: Bacterial small subunit ribosomal RNA
Source: RNAcentral
UACUGGGCGUAAAGCGCGCGUAGGCGGUUUGUUAAGUCAGAUGUGAAAUCCCCGGGCUCAACCUGGGAAUGGCAUUUGAGACUGGCAGGCUAGAGUAUGGUAGAGGUGAGUGGAAUUUCAGGUGUAGCGGUGAAAUGCGUAGAGAUCUGAAGGAACAUCAGUGGCGAAGGCGACUCACUGGGCCAUUACUGACGCUGAGGUGCGAAAGCGUGGGUAGCAAACAGGAUUAGAUACCCUGGUAGUCCACGCCCUAAACGAUGUCAACUAGGUGUAUGGAGAAAAUAUUCUUUGUGUAUCGAAGCUAACGCGAUAAGUUGACCGCCUGGGGAGUACGGUCGCAAGACUAAAACUCAAAUGAAUUGACGGGGGCCCGCACAAGCGGUGGAGCAUGUGGUUUAAUUCGAUGCAACGCGAAGAACCUUACCUGGCCUUGACAUG